UUUAUAUGCUAAAUAUAUCCUUUAAUUCUGUGUGUGUGUGUGUAUGUGUGUCUGUGUAUGCUUUUAUAGGCGUUACUGGAAGAACAGAGAUAACCCAUGUGGAGUAAUAGUAUGGAAAUAUCCUGAAACUCCUUCAGAGUCUAAAUAAACUGACUGGAUUGGAGUUUCACAAGCAAGGAACCUGGUCCAUGGGCAAUUUGCUGCAGGUACCAGAGCUGCAGUUUGCCUUUCUCUGGAUCGCAACCUUGGAAGCAGUCCCCAAGUCCCAGGCUGGGAAACAAGAGAGUGGCCUGACCCCCUGGGAGGGUAGAGAUGGCCUGACUGGAAGUUUCAAGAGUCAUUUUGGGGAGUGGCAAGGAGCCAAGGAACACCCUUUCUCCUCUGUGUCUUUGGAACACCCCAUUUCUUCUUGUGAAGAUUAUAUGGUGUAA
RNAcentral lists this long non-coding RNA (431 nucleotides) under Mustela putorius furo (domestic ferret). RNAcentral describes it as "lncRNA (ENSMPUG00000030732.1)". Lineage: Eukaryota; Metazoa; Chordata; Mammalia; Carnivora; Mustelidae. The record is from RNAcentral.